Rosa rugosa (rugosa rose) is the source of this 680-nucleotide long non-coding RNA. RefSeq lists it as uncharacterized. The record is from RefSeq and is a predicted model, not a curated record. NCBI's taxonomy places the organism in Eukaryota, Viridiplantae, Streptophyta, Magnoliopsida, Rosales, Rosaceae. The transcript has 5 exons.
CAUUUAGUAAUAUUGUCUGAAGUUUAGUGUAAAAUUCUUGACUUUUUUUGUGUAUUUUAUUUUAUUUUUAGCCAUAAAUUUGCAAUCUUUGUUGCUGCUAUAUGCUUCUAUUUUUCUUUUCGUCAGUUUUCCUUUUACCUAUGAUGAAUUGCUUUUCUGCUGUUGUUUGUAAGUAUCCUCUUUCUCCUUUGUUCUUUUGCUUCUGGUUUUAUUCUCUAGUGUGCGAUGUUAAGUUUUAUUGGUAUUGCCGCAAUUGUUAUCAAGCAUGGUGAUGAUAACAAUUGCAGAAGUAGUGCUGCUUGCAUACUGUCAUGCAGAUUUAACUUUUCUCAAUCAUUUUCUUUUUAUAUAUCUGUGUAGGAUAGGAUGCAUAUGAAGACCAAUGCUGUGAUAAGGGUUCUCUCAUGCAAUGUAAUUCGGAAUCAAGGUUUCUAGUUGAAUACAGCUGCUGGUACCAUGUCUCCCUUUGAACAUGGCGAGUUUUUUGUUCUUGAUGAUGGUGGAGAGCUAAUCAGAGUUUAAAAUAUCCAGCAGCAGUGUGAUGUGGCCAUUUAAAAGCUUUAUUAGGUGUUGGAAGUUGGAACUUCAUAAGAAGAACCGAAACAUGAUUUUCAAUUAAUGAGAUGAUAUGAAGACAUUGGUGUGAUGCCAGUGGUGUCCUCCAAUUUGGCUGAAAGAAG